AAAUUGAAGAGUUUGAUCAUGGCUCAGAUUGAACGCUGGCGGCAGGCCUAACACAUGCAAGUCGAACGGUAGCACAGAGAGCUUGCUCUCGGGUGACGAGUGGCGGACGGGUGAGUAAUGUCUGGGAAACUGCCUGAUGGAGGGGGAUAACUACUGGAAACGGUGGCUAAUACCGCAUAACGUCGCAAGACCAAAGA
Molecule: ribosomal RNA, 197 nt
Filed under: Salmonella enterica subsp. enterica serovar Infantis
Lineage: Bacteria; Pseudomonadati; Pseudomonadota; Gammaproteobacteria; Enterobacterales; Enterobacteriaceae
Also listed under: 1 other name
Description: partial 16S ribosomal RNA
Rfam family: Bacterial small subunit ribosomal RNA
Source: RNAcentral